AACGCAUAUUGCGCUCUUUGGUAUUCCGAAGAGCAUGCUUGUUUGAGUAUCAGUAAACACCUCAGCCAGAUUCAUUUCUGGAUGGACUUGAGCAAACCCAACAGUCUUCACCGACCGAGCGGGUUGCUUGAAAUGCAGGUGCAGCUGUGAUACAAACAGACUGAGCUAAAAGCAUAUCUAAUUUAGUCCGCCUGGCGGAUUAUUUCUAUUUGCUGCAGUUCAUAAAAAAGUCUGUUCGUCUCUGCUGACUGAUGCAGGAUUGUUAGACUUUUCUGAUCUCUUUCGAAGAGACCAAGAACUUCUUUCAAAACUCGAUCUCAAAUCAAGUAAGACUACCCGCUGAACUUAA
This 349-nucleotide unclassified non-coding RNA is filed under the name uncultured fungus. Its description in RNAcentral is "partial contains 5.8S ribosomal RNA, internal transcribed spacer 2, and large subunit ribosomal RNA". The record is from RNAcentral. Lineage: Eukaryota; Fungi.